Molecule: ribosomal RNA, 109 nt
Filed under: Sinocyclocheilus anshuiensis
Lineage: Eukaryota; Metazoa; Chordata; Actinopteri; Cypriniformes; Cyprinidae
Source: RNAcentral
GCUUACGGCCAUACCACCCUGUCUGUGCCUGAUCUCAGAAGCUAAGCAGUUUCGGGCCUGGUUAGUACUUGGAUGGGAAACUGCCUGGGAAUACCAAGUGCUGUAAGCU